GCAAGUCGAACGGCAGCAUGGAGAGCUUGCUCUCUGAUGGCGAGUGGCGAACGGGUGAGUAAUAUAUCGGAACGUGCCCAGUAAUGGGGAAUAACUAAAUGAAAGAUUACUAAUACCGCAUACGACCUACGGGUGAAAACAGGGGAUCUUCGGACGUUGCGUUAUUGGAGCGGCCUGUGUCUGAUUAGCUAGUUGGUAGGGUAAAAGCCUACCAAGGCGACGAUCAGUAGCUGGUCUGAGAGGACGAUC
Molecule: ribosomal RNA, 249 nt
Filed under: uncultured bacterium
Lineage: Bacteria
Description: partial 16S ribosomal RNA
Rfam family: Bacterial small subunit ribosomal RNA
Source: RNAcentral